CACACACAAACACACACAGCUGGGCCGGUGUCUGUUUUCUUCCGUCUCUAAUCUAAUUUUUAAUUCAAAAACUGACUGAAGAGCGUCGCAAGUCGUCAAUCUUCUUGCGCCGUGUGACAGGUCAUAAUCGUAACGAAAUAUUGCCCCGUCUACCAUGGGAACCCUACGCAAAACCAAGAUGGUGGUUUGGCUUUUUUAUGAUGGUGCUUGAUAUCUUUUUUUUUUUUGGGUGGAAAUUUUUGAAGAUGUGUGUUACCAAGUAGCGGGAAUGACUUAUGGACCGUGAGGAAACUGACCGAUCGCAACCUGUUGCCGAUUGCUGCUUAGCAUAGCUGAUCUAGUCUGCGGGGCGUCUUUGGUAGCGAUGAGCCUAAAGCGGUCGCUGUUCUUUCCUGGUGGCAGUUUGGCGUUAAUUACCGGGUUAAGCACACAUGAUGCGGACGGCGUACGUAUAUCGCCCCGAACUCGUUGCCCAACUUCAUUGGCUAGGCGUUACCGACACGUCUCCUGUCACUGCGAGGCGGCCCCUCUUCAACGCAUUCGACUUUAUCGGGUUAUCCGCUGCACCCGGUUUGGCACUGACCCGGCGACCGUGAAGCCAGCGUGAAGCACCCUGGAGCUGAACUGGCCGGCCGCGAACUGCUAAUCCUCUCCGCGGGCUUGUGCAACAAUGGCCGAAACCGAUACCGGAUCAGGGCCGGAUCGAAUGCGCGGGAUGACAUUCAGCCGCAUUGGUGCGUUGAGCGAUGCCUUUAUCAUAUUCCUGUUUCGGAGUCCGGACAGGCCCGCACUUGACAUUGGAUGCGCCCAGAUGAGCACGGCGAUGAACUGGGGCGCGAUGGUAACACUGGUGAUGUAAUUUAGAAAGGAAGUACGGCUUGUGGGGCAUCGUAUGUGAGCACAUCAGUUCUUGAGCAUUGGUCCAAGUCGCGUGACUUGAGCGAAGAUUGAAACCUUGAUUGAACCAAGCAGGUUAAGGACUUGAAAGAGAUCUUUCAACAAAAGCUCUUUCGCUGUCAAUUUGGAACCCUUGUAACACCCAUGUCAGACAUCGACAGGAUCAGUAGAUAUCGAGACUCUAAUAAAUUCUCGUUCCAAACGUUACUCAGAAAUGUCCGAUGACACCCAAACAAUAUUUAUCACUUCCCGGAUCCAACUUGUUUCGCGCAGCUCCAAAACAUAUCAGCGCCAUACUUUGCUCUUCCAUGGUUAGACUUUGCUCUUCGCAUCUUCCGAAACUUCAAAGCAAUCUAGAAUAGUGCAAUCAAACAAAUUGCUGCUAGAGAUUAAGAAUUCUACAAACAAAA
Long non-coding RNA from Anopheles stephensi (Asian malaria mosquito), 1307 nucleotides. RefSeq lists it as uncharacterized. The transcript has 2 exons. The record is from RefSeq and is a predicted model, not a curated record. NCBI's taxonomy places the organism in Eukaryota, Metazoa, Arthropoda, Insecta, Diptera, Culicidae.